AGCGAACGCUGGCGGCAGGCCUAACACAUGCAAGUCGAGCGGCCGUAGCAAUACGGCAGCGGCAGACGGGAGAGUAACACGUGGGAACGUGCCCUUUGGUUCGGAAUAACGCAGGGAAACUUGCGCUAAUACCGAAUAAGCCCUUACGGGGAAAGACUUAUCGCCAUUGGAGCGGCCCGCGUCUGAUUAGCUAGUUGGUGGGGUAACGGCUCACCAAGGCGACGAUCAGUAGCNGGUCUGAGAGGAUGAUCAGCCUCACUGGGACUGAGACACGGCCCAGACUCCUACGGGAGGGCAGCAGUGGGGAAGUAUUGGACAAUGGGCGCAAGCCUGAUCCAGCCAUGCCGCGUGGAUGAUGAAGGCCUUAGGG
This 370-nucleotide ribosomal RNA is filed under the name uncultured bacterium. Its description in RNAcentral is "bacterial SSU rRNA". It matches the Rfam family "Bacterial small subunit ribosomal RNA", at positions 29 to 422 of the family's 1533-position model. The record is from RNAcentral.